AGAGAGACAGGCGCGAGGGAGAAGGAAGCUCGCGACAGAGAUGAAAGGGACCUUAGCCAUCACCGUUGGUGUGGUCGGAGUCGCAGUCGUCGUCGUCGACAAUUGAAGGUGCCGCCGUCGUAGUGGAAGAAGCCCAGAGAGAGAGAUGAACAAGGCCCGAAGAGAGUGAGCGUCGCUGCCACCGCCAUUGGAGAUGAACCCAGUUGUUCUCUUGCUGUCGAAGGUAUUGUUGUCACUGCUCUGGCUCAAUUAUGUAUCGUUACUGUCGCUGUUUGGCUAUUGCUGAGGUUUACUACCAUCACUGGAGCUGCCGGGGAACCACCGUGGUUGUUGCCUAGGAAACGGAACGAGUGUGGGGUUUCCUUCCCUGUUCUUCAAACAGGAAGGUGAGAACCCUGUAGAGGAAGCCAAGAAAAGCAACCAUGUCCAAAGAAAAAUCGAGAAACGCUAGAAAGAUCGUAAGCUUUAUCCUCAUGUUGAAGAGCAGUUUGGUGGUGGGAGAUUGCUGCCUUGCAUUGCUUCUCGACCUGAUCAAUGUGGCAGGGAUGACGGCUAUAUUUUGGAAAGUAAAGAGCUUGAAUUUUAUAUGAAGAAAAUCCAGAAGAAGAGAAAAGGUGCUGCCUCUAUUCUCAUACUUGUAUUUUGGAUGGGAUGGAAUAGGUCUUAUAAUGACUUUAGUUAUCUACAUGUAAUAUUUUGAUGUGUUGUGUACUUUUUGAAAAGAGAUUUUAUUUGGUAUUACAUGUAAUGGAAAAAUUACACUCUAUUUUGAUUUAUGUUGUUUAGACUAAAAACAUAUCUUAACUUAUAAUGAAAUUCUUAUGAUUUAAAUUUCUUGAA
Arachis duranensis is the source of this 840-nucleotide long non-coding RNA. RefSeq lists it as uncharacterized. The record is from RefSeq and is a predicted model, not a curated record. NCBI's taxonomy places the organism in Eukaryota, Viridiplantae, Streptophyta, Magnoliopsida, Fabales, Fabaceae. The transcript is spliced from 3 exons.